GACGAACGCUGGCGGCGUGCUUAACACAUGCAAGUCGAACGGAAAGGCCCUGCUUUUGUGGGGUGCUCGAGUGGCGAACGGGUGAGUAACACGUGAGUAACCUGCCCUUGACUUUGGGAUAACUUCAGGAAACUGGGGCUAAUACCGGAUAGGAGCUCCUGCUGCAUGGUGGGGGGUGGAAAGUUUCGGCGGUUGGGGAUGGACUCGCGGCUUAUCAGCUUGUUGGUGGGGUAGUGGCUUACCAAGGCUUUGACGGGUAGCCGGCCUGAGAGGGUGACCGGCCACAUUGGGACUGAGAUAUGGCCCAGACUCCUACGGGAGGCAGCAGUGGGGAAUAUUGCACAAUGGGCGGAAGCCUGAUGCAGCAACGCCGCGUGCGGGAUGACGGCCUUCGGGUUGUAAACCGCUUUCGCCUGUGACGAAGCGUGAGUGACGGUAAUGGGUAAAGAAGCACCGGCUAACUACGUG
Molecule: ribosomal RNA, 468 nt
Filed under: uncultured bacterium
Lineage: Bacteria
Description: partial 16S ribosomal RNA
Rfam family: Bacterial small subunit ribosomal RNA
Source: RNAcentral